This 534-nucleotide long non-coding RNA is filed under the name Helianthus annuus (common sunflower). Its description in RNAcentral is "hypothetical non coding rna". The record is from RNAcentral. Lineage: Eukaryota; Viridiplantae; Streptophyta; Magnoliopsida; Asterales; Asteraceae.
GGAGGAAAUAUGAUAUGGAAAACCGAGCCAAGGCAUCUCAAGCAUGGAUGGAGUGGCUAAUGAAAAAACGCAAGGCGUUUGAUCAAAGGGGUGACAUGGCGAUUGCCGCUUGCUUGGGCUGAACAGCAGCAGCGCGAAUUAAAUAUCCGUCUCUCUCGCUCAAAGGUUGAUCCCGAUGAGGAAAGAAGAAUUCUUGCAAAAGAGAAAAAAGCGUCAAUUGAGAAUCAUACCAACACUUUGAAAAGGCAUACACUUGUGUUGAGGAAAAGGGAUUUAUUGAGAAAGAAAGCGGAGGAAGAGAAGAAAAAACUCCUGAUUACUCAAACGAAGAUGAUAAAACGUCAUAAGCCAUAUUUGCAAUCGCAUUUCGAUGUUUGAUAUUAUGUUUAUAGAAUGUAAAUUGGUUAAGUUUAUAAUUUGUUGUAUUGCUUGACAGCAUGUAUAUAUAUAUGGCUUUAAAGAUACAAUACAAGAUACUUUAUGAAGGGCAGAAAUGUUUGUUUCCCUUCACCUUUUUCGAUUGAAAAACCAUUU